Molecule: long non-coding RNA, 590 nt
Organism: Meriones unguiculatus (Mongolian gerbil)
Lineage: Eukaryota; Metazoa; Chordata; Mammalia; Rodentia; Muridae
Exons: 3
Source: RefSeq, a predicted model, not a curated record
ACACAUACACUAGCAUCAGGAAAGCAAACCCAUAAGCGAGGCAUAAGUGACAUUAGCACACGAACGCACGAGAGGACCUCAGGAGAGGUACCAUGUGGCCGUGGACCUGAAGACUGGUGGCCCGAGGACAAAUGCUGCAGCCUUGGUCAGAGAAGCUUGCUUUUGCUACCAACAGAGGUUGAACAUUCUGAUAACAUAAAUGUAACACUAGAAAGCAAGCGCUUUGAGCAUCCACCUCUGUUCACCACUACUGAGAUGCUUCUUGUGCCAUGAACAAGAAGGAAAACUAUGGAAUUGUUCCUGUUCUCUCUGGCUUCCUAACACAGUGGCAAGUCCACAAAGGGCCACUAGGUGGUGCCACACAUCACAGACGGAAGGCCUUUCUUGGUCCUGGAAAGCUUGAUGGAGAAGAACCACUCACUUCAUGGCAGCCAGAGAAGCAACUGCUGAGUGAUAUCGUGUGGAAUUUGGGUGGGAAACACCAAGCUGUUUUCUACAGGGGCUCCAUGAUUUUGCCUCUCAACUCUUGUGCACAGGGUUUGACCUGCUCCAUGCCCUCACCAUGUGCAGGGAUUUUUAAAAAUAAUACA